GGGAUUGUGGCUUAGCGGUAGAGCGCUCGCCUACCAUGCAUGGGGCCCUGGGUUCAAUCCUCAGCACCA
Molecule: transfer RNA, 69 nt
Filed under: Ictidomys tridecemlineatus (thirteen-lined ground squirrel)
Lineage: Eukaryota; Metazoa; Chordata; Mammalia; Rodentia; Sciuridae
Description: Spermophilus tridecemlineatus (thirteen-lined ground squirrel) tRNA
Rfam family: tRNA
About the family: Transfer RNA (tRNA) molecules are approximately 80 nucleotides in length. Their secondary structure includes four short double-helical elements and three loops (D, anti-codon, and T loops).
Source: Rfam by way of RNAcentral